GCAAGUCGAACGGUAACAGGAAGCAGCUUGCUGCUUCGCUGACGAGUGGCGGACGGGUGAGUAAUGUCUGGGAAACUGCCUGAUGGAGGGGGAUAACUACUGGAAACGGUAGCUAAUACCGCAUAACGUCGCAAGACCAAAGAGGGGGACCUUCGGGCCUCUUGCCAUCGGAUGUGCCCAGAUGGGAUUAGCUUGUAGGUGGGGUAACGGCUCACCUAGGCGACGAUCCCUAGCUGGUCUGAGAGGAUGACCAGCCACACUGGAACUGAGACACGGUCCAGACUCCUACGGGAGGCAGCAGUGGGGAAUAUUGCACAAUGGGCGCAAGCCUGAUGCAGCCAUGCCGCGUGUAUGAAGAAGGCCUUCGGGUUGUAAAGUACUUUCAGCGGGGAGGAAGGGAGUAAAGUUAAUACCUUUGCUCAUUGACGUUACCC
Molecule: ribosomal RNA, 434 nt
Filed under: Escherichia coli
Lineage: Bacteria; Pseudomonadati; Pseudomonadota; Gammaproteobacteria; Enterobacterales; Enterobacteriaceae
Description: bacterial SSU rRNA
Rfam family: Bacterial small subunit ribosomal RNA
Source: RNAcentral